This 207-nucleotide ribosomal RNA is filed under the name uncultured bacterium. RNAcentral's name for it is "partial 16S ribosomal RNA". It matches the Rfam family "Bacterial small subunit ribosomal RNA", at positions 568 to 774 of the family's 1533-position model. The record is from RNAcentral.
CGAGCAGGCGGUUUAUUAAGUCGGAUGUGAAAUCCUACGGCUCAACCGUAGAACUGCAUUCGAUACUGAUAGACUUGAGUACUGGAGAGGAAAGCGGAACUCAUGGUGUAGCGGUAAAAUGCGUAGAUAUCAUGAGGAACACCGGUGGCGAAGGCGGCUUUCUGGCCAGAUACUGACGCUGAUCCGCGAAAGCCAGGGGAGCGAACG